CCAACUUGUCGACAGUUAGUUAAAAUUUUUGCUUCUGUUCUUUCGAUUCCUUGGACAAUUUUCUCAAUCCACUUUGGCAAAUUUUCUUUGAGCUCCUUCAGACUUAAUUCUUUUAAUUCCUCCAUUGAUGCAAUUAUUUUCUCUGUUACAACCUCGGCUUCUCUAACAAGCUCUUGAGGCAUAGCAAAUCCAUUCCUAAUAUUAUGAAUCCUACCGAUAUCAUUAUAGAUAAGAUUCCUUAAUAGCUCAAGGUUCAGAGGAUAUAAUGAAUUUGUAAGGCUUGAAAGAUUUUGGAGGGAUUUCAGAAGUGGAUGAUGAUUCUGGUUUAUUGUUAAUGGGAGUGGGAGAGAUUAGACUUUCUGGUUCAAUAUCAAUCU
This 377-nucleotide long non-coding RNA is filed under the name Trifolium pratense (red clover). RNAcentral's name for it is "long non-coding RNA (TPRA_LNC008376)". The record is from RNAcentral. Lineage: Eukaryota; Viridiplantae; Streptophyta; Magnoliopsida; Fabales; Fabaceae.